This is a long non-coding RNA of Manis pentadactyla (Chinese pangolin), 4571 nucleotides long. RefSeq lists it as uncharacterized. The record is from RefSeq and is a predicted model, not a curated record. Lineage: Eukaryota; Metazoa; Chordata; Mammalia; Pholidota; Manidae. The transcript has 6 exons.
UAUUUUUAUCAUUUUUCCAGGAGCAUCUUAAACUUCAAAAAGAAAUGGGCAAACAUAGAUGAAACCUGGAAAUUUUGUUCUCUUGGUAAGUAAUAGCUGUGCUCAUUUGCUAAGAGCAAAUACUGCAUCUGCUUUCCCCUGGGCCCAUUCUACAGGUGAGAUGAUAUGUUGGUGUCUCAGUAUCCACACUAUUAGGUCACUCUAGAACUAGCGUGUUUUCUCACAUCCUUUGCUGUAGGAGAAUGCAGAGGAGUACACUCAUAUGGCAUAUGGCCCACAACCAAGAAUGGUACCUGAAGUUACUAAUAAAGGCUUUCCCCCUCUGCUCAGAUUGCGGCUGUGUGAGAAGAAUGAAUGAUUGGUGAAUGGAGUAGAUUUAAAAAUGAGGUCUGCUGUCACUCACGUGGUCUCUGUCUUGGCCCGGAUCCCAUGCUCUCUCAUCUCAGUGGCUGCAUCAUUGCCCCUAAUUAUGAGCCUGCUGGGGCCCUGAGCUCAGCUUCCGGGAAACCAUGGCAGAGCCUGUGCGCAGGUGGGGGGGUGCGCUUGCAGCUGUGCUCACUAGCUUAUGCUUUACUCGCAGAGGCACCAGCCGAACACCUUUAAGGCCCACUCUUGUGGCAGUUCAGGGGUUGGCAGUAGUUCUCUGUUCAGUCGAAUCCUAAUGCUGCUUGGCCUGUGGGUCCAUAUUCCCCCAUCAAAUGUUUUCUAGAGAUAAAGGACAACCAGAACUGCUUUUCUCUGUUACUGCCACACCCUUGGGGUUUCAUUUCUUGCCUUUAGCAAAACUCAAUCCCUCAGUUUGGCAAUGAUUCUUAUAUGGGUUCUGUUUGACUCUUUCCCUCUGAUUCCACUGAAAGUCUCCCUUUUGUUGGUACUAGAAAAGUUGAAGAUGUCUUAAAGACUCUGGUUUCCCCCCAGUUUUAUACUGUCCUUUCCAAGGCAUGGAAAGGCUCGAGCUCCAUUUUUCUAUUCCUGAGCCAAGUCAGAGGUCCAGCUGCUUCAUGUGUGCAGGGCUGAUUAAAAUAGCAGGGAUGCUGAAGGGAUUCAGCAAGGAAAUGUUUAGUGAGGUCCAGAAGCUAUCAACUGAGAAUACGGGACGUGGGCUGUUUGUGCCAGGUGACUGUGGGUAAUGCUGGCAGUGUCUAUCGUGGAAAUACAAUUUCUACAGGAAAAAACAAACCCAAAAGUCAGACUAUUCAGAAAAGGGACAUAGUAAACGAUCAUAAGGACAAAAACCCAACCUGAGAAAAUCCACUUCUAAAUAUUAUUUCUAUAAAGAAAAAUAUAGACAAGGACAUUUGUGUCUGUCUGUAACUUGGACUCUCUGGUAAAAUAAAAUUACCUACAGAUGUUUUUGAGUUAUUUGCUUUGGUCAACAUUUUGGUGUAAACAUGUUAGAAAUACUGUGUGGCUGUUGGUAGGCCCCUCUGCCUAAGAAGACGGAAAGGCUGGGACACUAUACUAACAUGUUUCACUUUAUCUGAAGGCAUAGCCAUGAAAUCCACAAACUAAGAAGGAGGAAAAGGGCAUCAUCAGCCCUGAAAAAGAGCUAAUUCUUGGUGGGGAAAACAGGGCCGAGAUAAAUUUAGAGGGAAAGAAAGCAUGUCCUAAAGCAAAAUAGCACAUGAAAGGGUGCAUAAAAAACACGUCUAGGGUGCUAUAUUUAAAGUUCACACGUUGAAGUAAAACUGAGGAAUGAGUGUCUCUUGGAGGCUUAUUAAUGAUGCCGAGAACCCCUGAUAUGCAGGCAGCAGUUUGGAGGCACCCAGUUCCCAGUGGUGACUGAAAACCAUCACUCCUUAGUAGCUAUGAGACAAUGGCCUCUGUCCAUGUCUUAGCUGAGUGGAUCAGGAGAGCAGCGCAUCUGCAGAGGCCUGAAGGAAAGAGCACAAGAGCACUUUCAGUGCAGUGACCUUGGCCAUGUUUCUCCUGUGGUUAAGUAGAAGUCUUGAUUCUAGGCACUGAGAGCCCCUCAUGACACCACUCACGGUGGUCACAUGCAUACAUCCACCUGUGUUUGCAUGUGUGUAUUUAUGCUUUCCUUUUUCUCCUCCUAGUAGGCAAGAGAUGAUGGACAAAGAACAGAGAACAGAAAAUAAAGCUGGCAUGCAAGUCAGACCCUCGUUUUUGCAGUAACACUCCAGUCUGAAGAGAAGUAUGGUUGCUGCCCCUUCUCUGCUUUUGUAAUGCUUGCUGCCCGGCUGCAGUUGUGACACCAGCAGAGAGGCUCCAGAGAGCUCCACCAUGCCUUCUGCCAUAUGAGGACACACCAAAAAGACAACCUUCUAUGAACCAGUAAGUAGACCAGCACGAGACAUUGACUCUGCCAGAGCCUGGGAUGUGGACUUCCCAGCCUCCAGCACUAUGAGAGUUAAAGCACAUGAAGUGUGUGAAGAGUGGCUGAACAGUCUACGCGAAAGUUGUUAGGCUUCCGAAGCAUUAGUCCAAAGGCCCCACUGCUACACCUGCUGCCAUUACUAGAAAAUUCUGUGGAAGAAAUAAGUCAUGUGCUUCCUCUUCAAAUUUUUGAUGAUAAAAGACAAGAAAGAAAUGAAGCCUUAAAUGUCUCGGGCUGUAUCAGGCAACCAGCUGGGAAUCAAGUUUGCUGUGGGACUUGCCCAGGUUACAAAUCAGCUCCAUCAGAAUUACCUGGAAAGCUUGAAAAAAGAACAUGCAGUUCCAGGUCUCCACUCAAGAGUGGAAAAACACAUGGUGCUCCUACUGGCUUCCCACUCGUGGCUACAUUUGACAGAAUCCCUCACUGUGAUGCACAGAGGAUGAUGGUAAAGACCAGUGCAGCCCAAGGUAUGAAUUUUCAUGCAUUGUUAGAGCAUUUUAUUUGGUGUUCCAAAUCCUCUAACUGUUUGGUACUAAUGCAUUCAAAAUUGUUUCAAAAACACAAAUCCAGCAAAAAAGCAAAGUAACUGUAAGCAGCAAAGCCAUAGGAUAAAUGGUACUUUGUUACCUCCACUAACAGAGACGACUUCAGCUUUCUGCUAUAUGAAGUAAGUAAUAAAUAUCUGUAACUUGUUCUACUGAGGUGUUCAAAACAUCAUUCUGCUCCAAAGACUACACUUCCAGGUUAGAGUAAAAUGGGCAAGAUAAAAAGUAAACAAACUUUAGACUAGAUCACUUGUCUACUUACUCUGUCCUAAAAUAGAUACAAAUUUCACUUUCAAUUUCUACUCGAGUGGAAACUCCAAUUUAUUAAAAAUGAAAUUAUUUCACAAGUUAAGUGGUUAGAAGAAUGUUCUUAAUCCAUCAGGGGUGAGACAAUGAGGUGUUCUGUAUCAUUCCCAUAAGCACAGGAAUGGAAAACCAGAACUUUUUUUUUCAUUCUUUAUGCUGUAGUCUGUCUAUUUGUUAUCAGACUUCUAGUUAGAAAGAAAAAUGUUUCCAUUAGAAAAAAGGCUUCUUUUAACUUAAAAUCUGUUUUAACAUUUCACAGUUGCCCCCACCAUCUGUAGAACAUCAUUAUAAUGGGAAUUGUAAAAAAGGAGAAAUAUCCACUGUCCAAUGCUAUGGCAGUUGUCUACUUAGCAAUAAGAGAGAAAUGUAGUAUUGUUCAAGGAAUAAAGAAAAGUUAAAAGUGCUACUUUCGUCAGAGUACAAUUAUAUGUAGACAUACUUCAGUGAAAGCGGAAUGAGGAAUUUGCCUGUUAGCCCAAUUAACAUAUCCAAAUAUUCAAUUUAUAGUUGCAAAAAUUGUUCCCAAGCAAUAAAAGAAUUCAAGUUUCUGACUACCCAUUUUUCCUAAGCCAUCUUUAUUACUUGGAUAAGUUUCCUUUUGACCAUUUCUACUGUUGGCAAAUAAUUGAAUUAUCUGAAAAUCCACUGUAUAAACUACACUUCCUUUUAGAAGCUGUUUUGAAGUCUAUCUGAGUGUCUUGGGAAGAAAAAGGACAAGGUAUGAUUUACCUCAAGACCUAGAUCUUUUAUGUUUGUAGACAGAUACUCCUAAUUUUGCACUCUGGAUUGUCUUAGUUUUCUACUAGAAAACAGACCUUUUAAGCAAAGCACAUAUAUAAAUUUCACUCAGCACCAUUACUUCCACCUUGCUUAUACAUAUUCAGAACCUAAUAACUGGUUCUCAUCAGAAUAAAAUUUGUACUGUGGAAAUUUUACUCUAAAUAAUAAUGGAUGUGCUUUACAGAACAUUUUCACCUAAUAUUUUGCUAUAUACAUAUUUGUAACACAGUUCUAGGAUGAGUUGUCUGCUCUCUUUAUAUAAGAUUUAACUAAGUUUAUUUGGCUUAAACAAACUUAAACUUUCUCUUCCCAUCUCAUGGUCUCACCCACUGUUGGUCCAUUAUUUUCUGUCUUCUCCCAAAUCCCUAACCUCAUCUUGAAAGAGUAACUGAAUCAUUUUUCCAUCUACAUGAAAUAUGUGGGAUUCUAAUUCUUUCUAGUCCUUCCAUGAACAGUAAACAAGUAAAAAAUUCAAAAUGCUAUGAUUGGUAAUAUUAGGCAAGUAAUAAAAAUAGACAUUAGACUAUUAGAUAUAUAACAUUAGAUAUAUAUUAAUUUUGAACCUGAAGUUAAAAAAUUGUGUAUGUGUGUAUGUAAGUCUG